CCCUUCGGGGUACUCGAGCGGCGAACGGGUGAGUAACACGUGAGCAACCUGCCCUAGGCUUUGGGAUAACCCCGGGAAACCGGGGCUAAUACCGAAUAGGACCUGACUCCGCAUGGGGUUGGGUGGAAAGUUUUUCGGCCUGGGAUGGGCUCGCGGCCUAUCAGCUUGUUGGUGGGGUGAUGGCCUACCAAGGCGACGACGGGUAGCCGGCCUGAGAGGGCGACCGGCCACACUGGGACUGAGACACGGCCCAGACUCCUACGGGAGGCAGCAGUGGGGAAUAUUGCACAAUGGGCGGAAGCCUGAUGCAGCGACGCCGCGUGAGGGAUGACGGCCUUCGGGUUGUAAACCUCUUUCAGCAGGGACGAAGCGCAAGUGACGGUACCUGCAGAAGAAGCGCCGGCCAACUACGUGCCAGCAGCCGCGGUAAGACGUAGGGCGCGAGCGUUGUCCGGAUUUAUUGGGCGUAAAGAGCUCGUAGGCGGCUUGUCGCGUCGACUGUGAAAACCCGCGGCUCAACUGCGGGCCUGCAGUCGAUACGGGCAGGCUAGAGUUCGGUAGGGGAGACUGGAAUUCCUGGUGUAGCGGUGAAAUGCGCAGA
Molecule: ribosomal RNA, 601 nt
Filed under: Micromonospora sp. I07A-01839
Lineage: Bacteria; Bacillati; Actinomycetota; Actinomycetes; Micromonosporales; Micromonosporaceae
Description: bacterial SSU rRNA
Rfam family: Bacterial small subunit ribosomal RNA
Source: RNAcentral